GUGUCAGCAGCCGCGGUAAUACGGAGGGUGCGAGCGUUAAUCGGAAUGACUGGGCGUAAAGGGCAUGUAGGCGGAUAAUUAAGUUAGGUGUGAAAGCCCUGGGCUCAACCUAGGAAUUGCACUUAAAACUGGUUAACUAGAGUAUUGUAGAGGAAGGUAGAAUUCCACGUGUAGCGGUGAAAUGCGUAGAGAUGUGGAGGAAUACCGGUGGCGAAGGCGGCCUUCUGGACAGAUACUGACGCUGAGAUGCGAAAGCGUGGGGAGCAAACAGGAUUAGAUACCCUGGUAGUCCACGCUGUAAACGAUGUCGAUUUGGAGUUUGUUGCCUAGAGUGAUGGGCUCCGAAGCUAACGCGAUAAAUCGACCGCCUGGGGAGUACGGCCGCAAGGUUAAAACUUAAAUAAAUUGACGG
RNAcentral lists this ribosomal RNA (412 nucleotides) under uncultured bacterium. RNAcentral's name for it is "bacterial SSU rRNA". It matches the Rfam family "Bacterial small subunit ribosomal RNA", at positions 505 to 916 of the family's 1533-position model. The record is from RNAcentral.